AACCCAAAUUAAUACUCAUCGGCGUAAAGCGUGUUUAGGAUAACCCAACAAAUAAAGUUAAACCAAGACUAGGCCGUAAAAAGCUACAGUCAAAAUAAAAUACACGACUAAAGUGACUUUAACAACUCCGAACACACGAUAGCUAAGACCCAAACUGGGAUUAGAUACCCCACUAUGCCUAGCCCUAAACCCAAACAUUUAAUCAACUAAAAUGUUCGCCAGAGCACUACUAGCAACAGCCUAAAACUUAAAGGACUUGGCGGUGCUUCACACCCUCCUAGAGGAACCUGUCCUAUAAUCGACAAACCCCGAUAAACCUCACCACCCCUAGCCAACA
This 337-nucleotide ribosomal RNA is filed under the name Choloepus didactylus (southern two-toed sloth). RNAcentral's name for it is "partial 12S ribosomal RNA". Lineage: Eukaryota; Metazoa; Chordata; Mammalia; Pilosa; Megalonychidae. The record is from RNAcentral.